GACGAACGCUGGCGGCGUGCUUAACACAUGCAAGUCGAACGGAAAGGCCCUGCUUUUGUGGGGUUCUCGAGUGGCGAACGGGUGAGUAACACGUGAGUAACCUGCCCUUGACUUUGGGAUAACUUCAGGAAACUGGGGCUAAUACCGGAUAGGAGCUCCUGCUGCAUGGUGGGGGUUGGAAAGUUUCGGCGGUUGGGGAUGGACUCGCGGCUUAUCAGCUUGUUGGUGGGGUAGUGGCUUACCAAGGCUUUGACGGGUAGCCGGCCUGAGAGGGUGACCGGCCACAUUGGGACUGAGAUACGGCCCAGACUCCUACGGGAGGCAGCAGUGGGGAAUAUUGCACAAUGGGCGGAAGCCUGAUGCAGAAACGCCGCGUGCGGGAUGACGGCCUUCGGGUUGUAAACCGCUUUCGCCUGUGACGAAGCGUGAGUGACGGUAAUGGGUAAAGAAGCACCGGCUAACUACGUG
This 468-nucleotide ribosomal RNA is filed under the name uncultured bacterium. Its description in RNAcentral is "partial 16S ribosomal RNA". It matches the Rfam family "Bacterial small subunit ribosomal RNA", at positions 28 to 507 of the family's 1533-position model. The record is from RNAcentral.